RNAcentral lists this small nuclear RNA (113 nucleotides) under Suricata suricatta (meerkat). Lineage: Eukaryota; Metazoa; Chordata; Mammalia; Carnivora; Herpestidae. The record is from RNAcentral.
GUGCUCUCUUCGGCAGCACAUAUACUAAAAUUGGAAUGAAACAGAGGAGAUUAGUAUGGUUCCUGUGCAAGUAUGAUACACAGAUUCAGAUUCAUGAAGUGUUCCAUAUUUAA